This 266-nucleotide ribosomal RNA is filed under the name Escherichia coli O157. Its description in RNAcentral is "partial 16S ribosomal RNA". It matches the Rfam family "Bacterial small subunit ribosomal RNA", at positions 1035 to 1301 of the family's 1533-position model. The record is from RNAcentral. Lineage: Bacteria; Pseudomonadati; Pseudomonadota; Gammaproteobacteria; Enterobacterales; Enterobacteriaceae.
CAGGUGCUGCAUGGCUGUCGUCAGCUCGUGUUGUGAAAUGUUGGGUUAAGUCCCGCAACGAGCGCAACCCUUAUCCUUUGUUGCCAGCGGUCCGGCCGGGAACUCAAAGGAGACUGCCAGUGAUAAACUGGAGGAAGGUGGGGAUGACGUCAAGUCAUCAUGGCCCUUACGACCAGGGCUACACACGUGCUACAAUGGCGCAUACAAAGAGAAGCGACCUCGCGAGAGCAAGCGGACCUCAUAAAGUGCGUCGUAGUCCGGAUUGG